UACGGAGGGAGCGAGCGUUGUCCGAAGUUACUGGGCGUAAAGCGCACGUAGGCGGCUUUGUAAGUUAGAGGUGAAAGCCCAGAGCUCAACUCUGGAACGGCCUUUGAGACUAGAGGACUUGGGUACGGGAGAGGUGAGUGGAAUUCCGAGUGUAGAGGUGAAAUUCGUAGAUAUUCGGAAGAACACCAGUGGCGAAGGCGGCUCACUGGCCCGUUACCGACGCUCAGGCGCGACAGCGUGGGGAGCAAACAGG
RNAcentral lists this ribosomal RNA (253 nucleotides) under uncultured bacterium. RNAcentral describes it as "partial 16S ribosomal RNA". It matches the Rfam family "Bacterial small subunit ribosomal RNA", at positions 524 to 776 of the family's 1533-position model. The record is from RNAcentral.